CCAAAGUCUGUCAUAAACCAAUCGUAAUGAAACAAAAAUAGACAAAAUCAUCAAUAUUUAAAAUUUUUAAUUGAUGUGACAUAUAAUGAUUAGCUUGAGACAGUAGAUCCAUGUCCAUACAUGUUCAUCCUCUCUCACACUAGUCUAGAUCCUCUCAUAUAAUAGAGAGGCCAGUACUUUCUAAGAUGCUGACAUGAAAAAAUAUACAUGGUCAUGAUUUUACACUCAAAUUUUAAUUAAAAUAAAAAUAAAAAUCCAUAAAUCCCUUCCUCCUUUCAUUCCCUUGUACAGUGAAGAUUCCAUGUAAAAUCCUUAGCAAAUCACCUUCAACUUCCUCAUUUUCUUCCCAUCAACAGUGUGGUAAGGGUAGGCUUUGGGAAUUAAAGUGAGAGUAGAUAGACUCAGUGAAGAGACAUGAAGUUGAGAAAAUCCAGCUCUCUAGCUACUUUGAAAUUGACUGUGAAGAUUUGUCAACUUAACCACAAUGCAUAAGGUUUUAUUACAAUAGAUAAGUUUUUGUCAACAUUACCUUUGGUCCAGUAGUAGAAGAAUACCUCUUUCUUUAGCCAGGGGAGGGGAGAAGACAAUGAGGAAGGAAAUGGCGAAGGGGGAUUAUAGGGAUUUUCUUUUAUUUUUUUAUUGAAAUUUGAGUUUAUUUUGAGUAUAAAAUCGAUAACGAUUAAUAUUUUUUAUUGUCAUGCGUCAAUAUCUUAAGAAAAAUUCAAAAGAG
Molecule: long non-coding RNA, 730 nt
Filed under: Lupinus angustifolius (narrow-leaved blue lupine)
Lineage: Eukaryota; Viridiplantae; Streptophyta; Magnoliopsida; Fabales; Fabaceae
Description: long non-coding RNA (LANG_LNC001814)
Source: RNAcentral